AUCAACAGACGAGUGGACAGAACGAGGCCGGUCCGGGAUCAGUGGUGACUGCUGGUGGUGUCCGAGUUAUAGACGAAUGGACACCGCCGAGGUGACUCACGUGUGUUUCCACGGUCCCCGGUCCUUUGGUUGGGUCUCUGUGAGGACAGGAAGUCCAAGCUGAGACGUGACGGGUGUGUGCUUCGUGCUCUUGGGAGCGGAGAGGCCGGGCUGACUGGCAUUCUGCUGUGACCCAGGCUGUGCCAAGAAUGGACUGGGCGCCCGGAUCCGAUCGAAGCCUUCUGUGGGGUCACAUGCUGUGUGGUUGCUGCACGUUUUAGGAGCCCAGAGAUUAACGAUUCGUCCUUGGCCAUGCGCUCUGUGGUGGCAGGUCUGCCGGGAGCCCGGGGAACUCUGGGAGGAGCAACAAGUGCCCUGGCUGGCCAGGCUUUCCACGGGUUCUCUGUUACUGAAAAGUAUGAACGAUCGCUAGUCAGAGAAGGCGCACGGAGCCCGUAGACACGCGGGGGUGAGCUCCAUCGCGGGGACCUCGGGGACUUCGUGGCCACAGCCGUGUGCCUGCGCCUGCCCGUGAAGCCUGGAGACCCUAGAGUAACGGUCAGUGUUCUUGCCUCGGGCGUCUCAGCUGGACUUUUAGAAAUCGGAGGACAUAAUAAAGACAGCCAACGUAGGCCAGUGGCAAACACGAGAUUGGUGCCAAGUGUCUGUAAAUUCUUAGGAAUAAUGUCACAGGAAAUUAAUGCCAGCAUAAAUACACAGAUUAUACCAAGGACUGAUG
This is a long non-coding RNA of Lepus europaeus (European hare), 778 nucleotides long. RefSeq lists it as uncharacterized. The transcript is spliced from 6 exons. The record is from RefSeq and is a predicted model, not a curated record. NCBI's taxonomy places the organism in Eukaryota, Metazoa, Chordata, Mammalia, Lagomorpha, Leporidae.